Long non-coding RNA from Acanthochromis polyacanthus (spiny chromis), 2492 nucleotides. RefSeq lists it as uncharacterized. Lineage: Eukaryota; Metazoa; Chordata; Actinopteri; Pomacentridae. The transcript has 2 exons. The record is from RefSeq and is a predicted model, not a curated record.
UUUUUAUUUAUUCAUCCAUUCCGGUGCCGGUAACCAACUUGCUCCGUACUGAAGUUGUGCACAUUCAGAGGAGGCGAGGAGAACCGGAGCUGCUUCACGGAGCCGCCGCUGCCGCCGCACCGGAGAGGAUUCUCCUCGCAGCUUCUCCGCGCGUAAAAAUGCGCUUUUUUUCUCCUUUUUUCCCCCUUCUCGCUUCUGUGAGAUUUUAUUAUUAUUACUUAUUUCUAUUAAAUCAGGAGUGGUGCGUGUGCGCGUGCUCUCGGAGGUGCGUGAACGCUUGGAGAGGCUGCGGGUGACGCGCGGCCGUCCGGGAAGUUCUCCGAAGCUCCGCACCGGGAGGCGGCAGAGGCGCUUUUCUGUGCGUAAAAAACACCUCCCAGCGGCAGAUGCGGGCUGGUUCCGGGUUCUGGGGGGUAACGGGGCAUCCGGGGGGGUGAGGAGGUGAGGAGGGAGGGAUGAAGGAGGCAGAUGUUGGAGGGGGGAGGAAGGUGAAGCCAGGGGGUGAAACCGGGAGGAUCUGACGGACGGACAGCAGGAGGAGGAGCAGGAAGUUACUGGACUUGACUUUACAAUUAAAGGAUAUUUCUUGCGACCGAUCGUGACUCAGAAAUGUCUUUUAAUUGUUUGGUUAAGUUCAGGUUCUCCGUGGAAAGAAGAAGAAAAGAAGAAAAACCAAAUAAAACGUGGAGGUGAAGCUCCUGCAGAAGUUCUCGUUUCAGCACCACGAAGCUCCGGACAGCUCCUCCGGAUCUACGGUGACCGCUGAGGGACCAAAGUGUUCAUAUGCGGCUCCAGGAGGAGACUAAAGAAGAGUUUUACUGACAAACUGACGCGUUUCAAUGGAUGAAGUCUUUAAAAAGUUGUGUUUUUUCCUCCAGAGAUGGUUAAAAACUAGGAAAUGUGAUCUUCUGACUUUUUUUUCUGGUUAUUUUUGCCCACACAGUGAAGAAAAUCUGGAAUUUUACCAUAAAUUAAAAUGAAUUCUUUCAUUUUUUCCACAUAAGAGUGUGGAUUUACAUUAAAAACUUCAAUAAAAUGCAGAUUUUUAAAGAGAAAUUUGAACUAUAUAGCACAUAAAGAGAGAAAAAUACAAAAUUAGUUUUUAUUCCUGUUAAUUUAUUACUUAAAACUCUUUAAAACCGUAAAUAUGUGUUUAAAAUUAGACGCCAUUAGUGAGAAAUAGCAGAAAAAAGUGAUUUUUUUUCUGUAAUUGACAUAUUUUGUAUAAUAAUGGACUUUUUCACAAGAAAAACGUUGAAUUCAUAUAUUUUUCUCUGUCAAAUGCACUUUUUAUCUGUUUUUCUUUGCAUUUUUUCAUCUGUUAUUGUGUUUUUUAUAAUUUAGUGCCAGAUGGAGCAACACAAAAUGUGUCAUAUUAUUUUUACAGUUUUUCCUUUAAAUUUAUUGAAAUAAACAAUUCAAAACAGUAAAUUUAGGACACAAUUACUGAGAAAUAACCAAAAAAGGAUGUUUUAUCUGUAAUUCUACACCAGUUUGUUUGUUAAAUGACAGAUAUUUUGUAGAAUUGUAAACUUUUUUCAUGAUUUCAAUGUAUUUUCAUCAUUUUCUAUCAUCUUAAAGCAUUAGUAAUCUGUCAAAAUGCAGCUUUUAUUUACUUUUGAGAGCAUUUAUCAUCUGUCAUUAUGUUUAUUACAAUUUAAUGCUUGAUUUAGAUGCUAAUGGGAUUAUUUUAUGUGUAUACAGAGAGAAAACUAAAUUUGCAAUAUUUUUAGUUUUUCUUUUUCAUUUGUUGCAUAAAACUGUAAAUAUAUGUUUUAAAUUAGACACAAUUAGUGAGAAAUAGGAAAAAAGUGAUUUUUUUCUGUAAUUCUACAUAAGUUUGUUUGUUAAAUGACAGAUAUUUUGGGUAAUUAUGGGUUUUUCACAAGACAAAUGGUAAAUUAAUGCAGUUUAUAUCUAUUUUUCUAUGUAUUUAUCCAUCUGUUUUUGUCUUUUAUACAAUCUCAUGCUUGCUAUAGAAGCAAAUGUGAAUUUUGUUUUAGCAUAUAAAGAGAAAAAAAUCACAUUUUGCCACAUUUUUACAGUUGUUGUUGCAUAAAACUGUAAAUAUAUGUUUAAAUUUAGAGACAAUUAGUGAGAAAUUGAAGAAAAAAGUGUUUUUUCUGCUAUUUUACAUAAAUCUGUUUGUUAAAUGACAGACAUUUUGUGUACUUAUAGACUUUUCACAAGAAAAUUUGCAUUUUUUUCUGUCAAAAUGCAGUUUUUUAAAUCUAUUUUUCUUUGCAUUUAUUCAUCUGCUUUUAUGUUUUGCUUGAUAUAGAAGCAAAAGUCUGAUUUAAACAAUAAAAAGCAAGAAAAUACUCUUAAUUUCAGGUAAAAUGAGGCUAAAAAACAUGUUUUUGUGAUGAAAAACGGCUGCAUUUGGUUGUUAUGCUGUUUUUAGGACCCAGCAGUGCAGCUUCUAUAUAUUUGUUUAUGUUUUACGGGACAUUUGUUGUCUUUUUUUACAGAUUAAACUCGUUCUAACUGGA